CGACCAUCCUGAGCGGCUGAGAGACCUGGCUCUAUGACGCCGCAGCAACCACCCACUCGUUGGGCAGGUGCUAACGCCAGGACCGAUGGAGU
Molecule: non-coding RNA, 92 nt
Organism: Actinoalloteichus hymeniacidonis
Lineage: Bacteria; Bacillati; Actinomycetota; Actinomycetes; Pseudonocardiales; Pseudonocardiaceae
Source: Rfam